MicroRNA precursor from Oryza rufipogon (brownbeard rice), 194 nucleotides. It matches the Rfam family "MIR812 microRNA precursor family". The record is from Rfam. Lineage: Eukaryota; Viridiplantae; Streptophyta; Magnoliopsida; Poales; Poaceae.
AAAAAGGCAAACCUUAUAUUUUGGUGUCCAAUUUUGACUGUCCGUCUUAUAUGAAAUUUUUUUAUAAUUCAUAUUUUCAUUGUUGUUAGAUGAUAAAACAUUAUUAAUAUUUUAUGCAUGACUUAUUUUAUUAAUUUUUUUUAUAAUUUUUUUAAAUAAGACGGAUAGACACGGAAACAAGGGUUUGUCUUUUU